RNAcentral lists this ribosomal RNA (466 nucleotides) under uncultured bacterium. RNAcentral describes it as "partial 16S ribosomal RNA". It matches the Rfam family "Bacterial small subunit ribosomal RNA", at positions 28 to 507 of the family's 1533-position model. The record is from RNAcentral.
GAUGAACGCUGGCGGCGUGCUUAACACAUGCAAGUCGAACGAUGAAGCUCAGCUUGCUGGGUGGAUUAGUGGCGAACGGGUGAGUAACACGUGAGUAACCUGCCCUUAACUCUGGGAUAAGCCUGGGAAACUAGGUCUAAUACCGGAUAGGAGCGUCCACCGCAUGGUGGGUGUUGGAAAGAUUUAUCGGUUUUGGAUGGACUCGCGGCCUAUCAGCUUGUUGGUGAGGUAAUGGCUCACCAAGGCGACGACGGGUAGCCGGCCUGAGAGGGUGACCGGCCACACUGGGACUGAGACACGGCCCAGACUCCUACGGGAAGCAGCAGUGGGGAAUAUUGCACAAUGGGCGAAAGCCUGAUGCAGCGACGCCGCGUGAGGGAUGACGGCCUUCGGGUUGUAAACCUCUUUCAGUAGGGAAGAAGCGAAAGUGACGGUACCUGCAGAAGAAGCACCGGCUAACUACGUG